Molecule: ribosomal RNA, 440 nt
Filed under: uncultured bacterium
Lineage: Bacteria
Description: partial 16S ribosomal RNA
Rfam family: Bacterial small subunit ribosomal RNA
Source: RNAcentral
CCUACGGGUGACUGCAGUGGGGAAUCUUGCACAAUGGGGGAAACCCUGAUGCAGCGACGCCGCGUGAGUGAAGAAGUAAUUCGUUAUGUAAAGCUCUAUCAGCAGGGAAGAAAAUGACGGUGCCUGAGUAAGAAGCCCUGGCUAACAACGUGCCAGCAGGCGCGGUAUUACGUCGGGGGCAAGCGUUCUGCGGAUUUACUGGGUGUAAAGGGAGCGUAGACGGCAGUGCAAGUCUGGAGUGAAAGGCGGGGGCUCAACCCGCGGGCUGCACUGGAAACUGGACGGCUGGAGUGCAGGAGAGGUGAGUGGAAUUCCUAGUGUAGCGGUGAAAUGCGUAGAUAUUAGGAGGAACACCAGUGGCGAAGGCGACUUACUGGACUGUAACUGACGUUGAGGCUCGAAAGCGUGGGGAGCAAACAGGAUUAGAUACCCUUGUAGUC